CGGAAUGGGUGAGUAACACGUGCUUAAUCACCUUUAGAUUGGAAUACCCAUUGGAAACAAUGGCUAAUGCCGGAUACGCAUGGAACCGCAUGGUUCCGUUGUGAAAGGCGCUGUAAGGCGCCACUAAAAGAUGAGGGUGCGGAACAUUAGUUAGUUGGUGAGGUAAUGGCCCACCAAGACUAUGAUGUUUAGCCGGGUCGAGAGACUGAACGGCCACAUUGGGACUGAGAUACGGCCCAAACUCCUACGGGAGGCAGCAGCC
RNAcentral lists this ribosomal RNA (262 nucleotides) under uncultured Mycoplasma sp. Its description in RNAcentral is "partial 16S ribosomal RNA". It matches the Rfam family "Bacterial small subunit ribosomal RNA", at positions 98 to 355 of the family's 1533-position model. The record is from RNAcentral. Lineage: Bacteria; Bacillati; Mycoplasmatota; Mollicutes; Mycoplasmatales; Mycoplasmataceae.